AUUCCAGCUCCAAUAGCGUAUAUUAAAGUUGUUGCAGUUAAAAAGCUCGUAGUUGGAUUUCUGGUGGGGCUGUCGGCCUGGCUCCGAAAGGGGUCGUGGUUAGUACACGCCUGGCCAUCCUCGGGGGAAGCUUUGCUGGCAUUAAGUUGUCGGCGGAGUGACGCUCGUCGUUUACUGUGAACAAAUUAGAGUGUUCAAAGCAGGCUUAGGCCGUUGAAUACAUUAGCAUGGAAUAAUGAGAUAGGACUUUGGUGGUCUAUUUUGUUGGUUUGCACGCCGAAGUAAUGAUUAAUAGGGGUGGUUGGGGGUAUUCGUAUUCAAUUGUCAGAGGUGAAAUUCUUGGAUUUAUGGAAGACGAACUACUGCGAAAGCAUUUACCAAGGAUGUUUUCAUUA
This is a ribosomal RNA of 395 nucleotides. It matches the Rfam family "Eukaryotic small subunit ribosomal RNA", at positions 582 to 975 of the family's 1831-position model.